Molecule: long non-coding RNA, 1506 nt
Organism: Carassius gibelio (silver crucian carp)
Lineage: Eukaryota; Metazoa; Chordata; Actinopteri; Cypriniformes; Cyprinidae
Exons: 2
Source: RefSeq, a predicted model, not a curated record
UUACAUCCAUCUGUUUCCAUCCCAGAACAGGACAUAGCUUGUGAAGAAACUAAUAAUGAUAAUAAUAACAACAAUACAAGAAGCGUUCUUUGCCUUCAAUUGGAAGCGAAGGAUUAACUAGAGAUACACAAUGUUACCACGGGAAAUAUCGUACCAGCUAGAGAUUUGACAAACUUUCUUCCAAUAUUAUAGUACGUUCGUAUAACAUUCAAAAGUAAUAUUACCAUAGUGUUUACAAAACAAUAAAAUGUAACAUCUGUAUUGCUAACGUUUCGUUUUUUUUAUUACGUUUUGAACAUUCAGAGAAAACUCAAAUAACAUUUUCAAAAUUUUUUGGGAACGUCACAAAAACGUGUCAUUUGGUUAACGAGGAUAUUAAUGGAUGUGCGCAGUCCAGCUGACAGGGAACGUGUUCAGAUUCUUGGCUUCUGUUCUGACAAGGUUCUCUCAAAGUUAGAAACAAGCGUUGCUCCAGGUACAUUAACAGAAUGAUUGUUCGAAGUUAUCUGGUCUUUAAUAAUGCUCUCAAAACGUGAGCAUAAAAAUAUUAUUUAUACAUCAUUCAUGGAGUUUUUUUUUUUUAACCUCUAAAAAAUUUGUCUGGCAUUUUUUAAAUGGUAUACUACUUUUUUCUGAAUGUUCAGGGAACAUUCAAAAGUAACAUUCCUAUUAUCUUUGCAAAAUGAUACUGUAACAUUCUAUUAACAUAUAUUAUUAUUAUUAUUAUUAUUAAUAUAAUAGGACAUUUUAAACAUUCAGAUAACCUUCAGGAAUAAUGAUUUCAUAACAACGAGAACGUUAUGAAAAUGUUCCUGAAACAUAUUUUUGUUAGCUACAACAGAAAUGCUAACAAUUAUUUCAAAAGUUCCAUUGGACUACAGUGAUAUUUUUUUUUAUAUUUUUGUACCCUAUUAAUAUACUUUAGAGAACCAUGUAAAUACCAUGGUAAAUUAAUUUAAGGACUAUUAUUUUUCUUUUGAUGUCAUUACCAUGGAAAUGCUAAAGUACUGCUUACACACAACAGUAUAUCAUAUUUCUUGAAAUAACAAGAUAUAUGAAUAAUAAUGGUAUAUAUAAAAGUAUGUACCAUUGCAUUAGUACAGUAGCCCACCUGACAUCAUUGGUAUAUUUUGUUUGUUGCAGCUAACCAAAGUAUCAUAAUCAAAUUUCAUUUAUAUGUUUUUUCCAUUCAUUUAUUUUAUGUAAGUCAUAGUAUAAAAAUGCACAUGCUUCAUCUCACUGAUAUUACAUGAGCGGUGCUCGGUCCUCACAUGAUCAGUGAUUGGUUAAUUGUGUUCACGUGUGCGAGUGCUGACUGCAUUAGGCUAGACAGGACCUUGUGCAAGUUAUUGUCUCGUUUAAUAGAUUGAGUGGCAGGGGUCAAAAUCACAGUGGAUUUCUGCAUCACAUGCCAAAACAGAAACGGACCACAGAAGCAUGUUCACCAUAAUGAGCAUAAAAAUACUCACAUCUCGAUGUGACCCAAUAAAGCAAAAUACAACAGUA